CGCACGGGUGAGUAACACGUAUCCAACCUGCCGUCUACUCUUGGACAGCCUUCUGAAAGGAAGAUUAAUACAAGAUGGCAUCAUGAGUUCACAUGUUCACAUGAUUAAAGGUAUUCCGGUAGACGAUGGGGAUGCGUUCCAUUAGAUAGUAGGCGGGGUAACGGCCCACCUAGUCUUCGAUGGAUAGGGGUUCUGAGAGGAAGGUCCCCCACAUUGGACUGAGACACGGCCAA
Molecule: ribosomal RNA, 233 nt
Filed under: uncultured bacterium
Lineage: Bacteria
Description: partial 16S ribosomal RNA
Rfam family: Bacterial small subunit ribosomal RNA
Source: RNAcentral